RNAcentral lists this ribosomal RNA (645 nucleotides) under Pseudomonas extremaustralis. Its description in RNAcentral is "bacterial SSU rRNA". It matches the Rfam family "Bacterial small subunit ribosomal RNA", at positions 32 to 668 of the family's 1533-position model. The record is from RNAcentral. Lineage: Bacteria; Pseudomonadati; Pseudomonadota; Gammaproteobacteria; Pseudomonadales; Pseudomonadaceae.
GAGAAUCGGGGCGGCGUAAACAUGCAGUCGAACGAUAUAGACGAUAUUGUGCUUCUAUUAGAGAGCGAGCGGACUGGAGUGAAAAUGAAAAGAGCUGCCUGGUAGGGGGGGAUAACGUUCGGAAGCGGACGCUAAUGCCGCAUACGUCCUACGGGAGAGAGCAGGGGACCUUCGGGCCUUGCGCUAUCAGAUGAGCCUAGGUCGGAUUAGCUAGUUGGUGAGGUAAUGGCUCACCAAGGCGACGAUCCGUAACUGGUCUGAGAGGAUGAUCAGUCACACUGGAACUGAGACACGGUCCAGACUCCUACGGGAGGCAGCAGUGGGGAAUAUUGGACAAUGGGCGAAAGCCUGAUCCAGCCAUGCCGCGUGUGUGAAGAAGGUCUUCGGAUUGUAAAGCACUUUAAGUUGGGAGGAAGGGCAGUUACCUAGUACGUGAUUGUUUUGUCGUUACCGACAGACUAAUCACCGGCUACCUCUGUGCCAGCAGCCACGGUAGUACCAAGGGUGCAAGCGUUAAUCGGAGUUACUGGGCGUAAAAACGCGCGUAGCCGCGUUAUGGCGCGGGCCCCCGCCACUCCCUUUCAGUUUUUAGCUUUGCGCCUGCCCCCCCCCCGCGGAUGGAGUACAGGCUAUUGCGGCCCCACU